AACAAAGAAUGUUAUGAAUAAUAGAUGGAUGCCCAUUAUAAGGCUCAUCAUCUAGAUGUCUCUAGGGUUUUACCCUUCUCUUGUACUCCUAUAUAAAGGAUGCUUUAUUCAAUGGAAUAACACACUCAUUUCUUUUAUCUCUUUCUCUGGUUAUAACACGUUAUCAGCACGAGUCCUACCUAGCUGAGUAAACCCUAGCCACCUAAGAAAACGAAAAAAAAAA
This 223-nucleotide small RNA is filed under the name Arabidopsis thaliana (thale cress). Its description in RNAcentral is "ATSL280490". The record is from RNAcentral. Lineage: Eukaryota; Viridiplantae; Streptophyta; Magnoliopsida; Brassicales; Brassicaceae.